This 426-nucleotide long non-coding RNA is filed under the name Olea europaea subsp. europaea. Lineage: Eukaryota; Viridiplantae; Streptophyta; Magnoliopsida; Lamiales; Oleaceae. The record is from RNAcentral.
CAAAAGCAUAGUAUUGACACCUUCAAGAGGCAUCUUCCUUUCUCGGGAGAAGAGGGAAUACAGGAACACAUAAAAAAGCGGUAAGGAGGUUUGAGGAGAAAACUUAUAUCACUGGAAUAAGUUGGGUAUUUCUCUCAAACGAGCUUCUUUUGUUUUAUAGUGUGUGCAAUUUGAAUUAUACAUUUCUUGUGAUAGUUUGUCUAUUACUAAAACUAAACUCGGUGGUGUUUUGAAUUGAUGUUAGGUCCAAUCACCAGGAAUGUUUAUAGAUUAGUUGAUAAAGAUAUCUUUGGAGAUGCUGUAAUUUGAGAGAGAAUGCAGAUCCCUACAACCAAUUCUUAUCAGUUCAAUGCUGCUAAAACAACCAAAAUCCUUAAUAUUCAGGUAAUGGAGAUCCUUUCAUUUUUAGGUACCGAUAACAAAUGU